GCUUGGUCCGAGUUGGGCAAGUUGGUGUUUCUUAACUAUGAAAGUCUGAUACGCGUCCUCCCCUAAACUUCUGUUAGAACGGUGGGAAACAUUGCUCCCGUGAGAACGGUAUAGUGGACUUCAUCGCCACUGACCCACAUUUAUUAGGGUGUGACACGAACUUGUGGACAGAGUACCGAGCUGCUGCUUUGCCAGGUGGAUUUCUGGCUGCGGGCAAAGGACCCGACACAUCGGUGUGUUUUAAUUUGUUUUAAACUGGUGUAAGCCGACAGACUGACUGCUGCGGCUGUCGAUGGUUUUGUUUUUUUGUUUUACUUUUUCUGUAUCAGUAGGCACCACAGAUAUUGAUUCGCAGGCGGUGAAGGCGCUGCAGGGAAAACAAAUCCUUUUUUUGCCUCCCCGCUUUUGCAUGCACAGCGGGGGGCCCGAGUGAAGACGGCGCUGAAGAUUUGCC
Non-coding RNA from Maylandia zebra (zebra mbuna), 454 nucleotides. NCBI's taxonomy places the organism in Eukaryota, Metazoa, Chordata, Actinopteri, Cichliformes, Cichlidae. The record is from RefSeq and is a predicted model, not a curated record.